This is a long non-coding RNA of Oncorhynchus tshawytscha (Chinook salmon), 699 nucleotides long. The record is from Ensembl. Lineage: Eukaryota; Metazoa; Chordata; Actinopteri; Salmoniformes; Salmonidae.
CCUCCAUAGACCCUCCAUAGACCCUCCAUAGACCCUCCAUAGACCCUCCAUAGACCCUCCAUAUACCCUCCAUAGAUCCUCCAUAGACCCUCCAUAGACCCUCCAUACAUCCUCCAUACAUACUACUGUGACACAGACUGACCAGGUGAAUCCAGGUGAAAGAUACGAUCCCUUUCUGAUGUCUCUUGUUAAAUCCACUUCAGUCAGUCUUAGGUGAAGGGGAGGAGUCAUGUUAAAUCCACUUCAGUCAGUCUUAGGUGAAGGGGAGGAGUCAUGUUAAAUCCACUUCAGUCAGUCUUAGGUGAAGGGGAGGAGUCAUGUUAAAUCCACUUCAGUCAGUCUUAGGUGAAGGGGAGGAGACAUGUUAAUGAUGGAUUUUUAAGCCUUGAGACAAUUGAGACAUGGAUUGUGUAUGUGUGCCAUUCAGAGGGUGAAUGGGCAAGACAAAAGAUUGAAGUGCCUUUGAACGGGGUAUGGUAGUAGGUGCCAGGCGCACCAGUUUGAGUGUGUCAAGAACUGCAACAAUGCUGGGUUUUUCACUCUCAACAGUUUCCCUGUGUGUAUCAAGUAUGGUCCACCACCCAAAGGACAUCCAGCCAAACAUGACACAACUGUGGGAAGCAUUGGAGUCGACAUGUGCCAGCAUCCCUGUGGAACACUUUUAACACCUUGUAGAGUCCCUGUGGAAGGCUUUUAACA